AUUUGGGUAAGGACACAGAUCCAAACCGUAUCAGGUGUUUGUAUUUCCUUUCAGAGUGAAGAUAUCCUCAAAUGUCUAGUGAUCCUUAACUGUCUGUUCACCUUUAAGACUACAGCACUAAAAAUCUGAUUGGAAGUUCUGAUAUAUGAGUUGGGUUGCCAACUCUGGGUCUUACCCCAGUCCUACAUUCACUGCCACUUCCAGAAAUAUCUGGUAUCACCAAUUCAUGAGCCCACUGGAGGUUUUGAGGUGCAAGUCUGGAUGAUGUAUUGGCUUUUCCUGCCAGAAUAGAAACUCCACAAAAACAGUGAUCUUGGUUUUGUUCAUUGAUGAAAUCCAAGGACUUAGAAGAGUGCCUGGCACAUGUAUAAUUACGGGAAAACGUCAGACAAACCCAAAUUGAGAGACAUUCUACAAAAUACCCAAAAAACAUCAUUUAAAGGGACCAAGUCAUGAAAAACAAGGAGACUGAGAAACUGUCACCAACUGGAGGAGCCUAUGGAGACAAAACAACUAUGUCUACGCAGCGUGGUAUUUUGGUUUGCAUUCUGGAAAGAAAAAGGACGUUGGUAUAAAAAUUGGUGAUAUCAGAAUAAAGUCUAUAGUUGAAAUAGCGUUGCAUCAAUGGGAAUUGCUUAGUUUUGACCAGGAAACAAGCUCAAGUGUGGUUAAGUCCAGAACUUGGCCAUGAUCAGCAAGUAAGAGGAAGAAGCAGGACUCAAACCCAGACAGCCUGUCAACUGGCCACCAAGCAUAAUUAUCAUGCCUGCUUGGUUUCACAUCCUCAGAG
RNAcentral lists this long non-coding RNA (790 nucleotides) under Homo sapiens (human). RNAcentral describes it as "HSALNT0220961". Lineage: Eukaryota; Metazoa; Chordata; Mammalia; Primates; Hominidae. The record is from RNAcentral.